CGACCCUUGCGGAAGAGAAGCCAGGAGAUGGCGGUGCGUGAGAGGGUUGUGUAGAAUCGCACGGCAUCCUCCGCAGCCAUGAUUCCCAGGGGGACGCCGGUCCACGGUUUGCGCAAGAGGCCGGGCCGGGUUUCGAGCGCCUCUCGCCAGGCUCGGAGUGACAGCAAGUAUGGGCAACGGCUACAAUGGAAGAGACUGAGCAUGCGGAUAAGAAAAGUCCUAGGGCUUCAGCGGCUGCUGCUGAGCACGUUGAAAGGGCGGGUGGGAGCUGCGCAGCUUCCAGAAAGCAGGGCAGAGCAGGCGGUUUCUUUAAGGAAAGGAAGCGAACGCAGUUUUCCCAGUUUGCCAAACGAAGCAAAAUAGAAACCCACAGUUCUGUGCAUCUGAGAAUCCUCUUCUGGAGGAGCUGACUUCAUUUUGGACCCGGGGGUUUGGAGACGCUGGGUUCAAAGAUGCUCCUUAGCAUCUGCCGUCUGAUUAUCUUGAGACCCAAGUGAAGACCAGAAGAGGCUGAUGUUGCAGGCCUGGGAUGGGACAAAUUUGAUAGGCAACUCAAGGAAGUGAGGAAUGCUGUGUGUGAAAAGCCUGUGAUGUGAUGUUAUCCCUGUCUGAAAGCUCAGCCCUGAGGGAAAAUACCUGUUGACUGAGGCUUGUCCAUUUUGCUGUCCCAUAACAGUUUUCAAUAACAAGUCACAGCGCAUGACUAAACCCUGUUAAAUUGCUGCAAUGUGGGAAGAAAACAAACUGACUUUGCACGAAACAGUGAUUUCUUUUUGAAAGAAGCAUGAAUAGGAUACCCGCUCAACAAUGCAGCAUUAUUUAUUAUUACUGGUGCUGGUGGUUAAAAUAGUCUGGAGAACAGAGCUGCCCUUUCCUGUGUUUUGCUUCCCUGCUCUAAACAUCAGGUGCCUAAUUCAGGCAACGUACAAGACGACAGCCAAAGGCUAAAGAGAAAUGUGGAUGAUGAAGAAGCUUGCCUCUCAGAGGCAUGAAGUUCUUACGAAGACGCUUAAAGGGUGUGGCAUCAAAUAUGCAGCCAUUUUACUGCCUUUUGGAUCAUUGUAGGGGGGAGGAUCAGACAAAUCUUUUAAUAAAUGAAAUAAAUUAACUUUG
Molecule: long non-coding RNA, 1113 nt
Organism: Eublepharis macularius
Lineage: Eukaryota; Metazoa; Chordata; Lepidosauria; Squamata; Eublepharidae
Exons: 9
Source: RefSeq, a predicted model, not a curated record